CGGGGUACUCGAGCGGCGAACGGGUGAGUAACACGUGAGUAACCUGCCCCUGACUCUGGGAUAAGCCCGGGAAACUGGGUCUAAUACCGGAUACGACACCUCCUGGCAUCGGGUGGGUGUGGAAAGUUUUUUCGGUUGGGGAUGGACUCGCGGCCUAUCAGCUUGUUGGUGGGGUAAUGGCCUACCAAGGCGACGACGGGUAGCCGGCCUGAGAGGGCGACCGGCCACACUGGGACUGAGACACGGCCCAGACUCCUACGGGAGGCAGCAGUGGGGAAUAUUGCGCAUAGGGCGAAAGCCUGACGCAGCGACGCCGCGUGGGGGAUGACGGCCUUCGGGUUGUAAACCUCUUUCAGCAGGGACGAAGUUGACGUGUACCUGCAGAAGAAGCGCCGGCUAACUACGUGCCAGCAGCCGCGGUAAUACGUAGGGCGCAAGCGUUGUCCGGAAUUAUUGGGCGUAAAGAGCUCGUAGGUGGCUUGUCACGUCGGGUGUGAAAGCUUGGGGCUUAACUCCAGGUCUGCAUUCGAUACGGGCUGGCUAGAGGUAGGUAGGGGAGAACGGAAUUCCUGGUGUAGCGGUGAGAUGCGCAGAUAUCAGGAGGAACACCGGUGGCGAAGGCGGUUCUCUGGGCCUUACCUGACGCUGAGGAGCGAAAGCGUGGGGAGCGAACAGGAUUAUAU
Molecule: ribosomal RNA, 683 nt
Filed under: Streptosporangium sp.
Lineage: Bacteria; Bacillati; Actinomycetota; Actinomycetes; Streptosporangiales; Streptosporangiaceae
Description: bacterial SSU rRNA
Rfam family: Bacterial small subunit ribosomal RNA
Source: RNAcentral